GACGUAGGGCGCGAGCGUUGUCCGGAUUUAUUGGGCGUAAAGAGCUCGUAGGCGGCUUGUCGCGUCGAAUGUGAAAACUUGGGGCUCAACUCCAAGCUUGCAUUCGAUACGGGCAGGCUAGAGUUCGGUAGGGGAGACUGGAAUUCCUGGUGUAGCGGUGAAAUGCGCAGAUAUCAGGAGGAACACCCGUGGCGAAAGCGGCUCUCUGGGACGGUACUGACGCUGAGACGCGAAAGCGUGGGGAGCAAACAGA
RNAcentral lists this ribosomal RNA (253 nucleotides) under uncultured bacterium. RNAcentral describes it as "partial 16S ribosomal RNA". It matches the Rfam family "Bacterial small subunit ribosomal RNA", at positions 524 to 776 of the family's 1533-position model. The record is from RNAcentral.